RNAcentral lists this ribosomal RNA (460 nucleotides) under uncultured bacterium. RNAcentral's name for it is "partial 16S ribosomal RNA". It matches the Rfam family "Bacterial small subunit ribosomal RNA", at positions 338 to 795 of the family's 1533-position model. The record is from RNAcentral.
CCUACGGGUGUCAGCAGUGAGGAAUAUUGGUCAAUGGGCGCGAGCCUGAACCAGCCAAGUCGCGUGAGUGAUGACUGCCCUACGGGUUGAAAGCUGCUUUAAUAAGGGAAUAAAUUGAGGAACGUGUUCCUUUUUGUAUGUACCAUAUGGAUAAGCAUCGGCUAACUCCGUGCAAGCAGCCGCGGUAAUCCGGAGGAUGCGAGCGUUCACCGGAUUUAUUUGGUUUAAAAGGUGCGUAGGUGGUUCAUUAAGUCAGCGGUGAAAGCUUGUGGCUCAACCGUAAAAUUGCAUUUGAAACUGGGUGACUGGAGUGUAUGUGAGGUAGGCGGAAUGCGUGGUGUAGCGGUGAAAUGCAUAGAUAUCACGCAGAAAUCCGAUUGCGAAGGCAGCUUACUAAACUAUAACUGACACUGAAGCACGAAAGCGUGGGGAUCAAACAGGAUUAGAUACCCGGGUAGUC